Molecule: ribosomal RNA, 119 nt
Organism: Lepisosteus oculatus (spotted gar)
Lineage: Eukaryota; Metazoa; Chordata; Actinopteri; Semionotiformes; Lepisosteidae
Source: Ensembl
GCCAGCAGCCAUGUCACCCUGCAACUUACAAUUGGCAACCCACUGAAGCUUAGCAGGUGUGAGCCUGGUCAGUACCUGGAUGGGAGACCUCCUGGGAAAAACUAAGGUUGCUGCUGGAA